AGAGUUUGAUCCUGGCUCAGAUUGAACGCUGGCGGCAUGCCUUACACAUGCAAGUCGAACGGUAACAGGUCUUCGGAUGCUGACGAGUGGCGAACGGGUGAGUAAUACAUCGGAACGUGCCCGAUCGUGGGGGAUAACGAGGCGAAAGCUUUGCUAAUACCGCAUACGAUCUACGGAUGAAAGCGGGGGAUCUUCGGACCUCGCGCGGACGGAGCGGCCGAUGGCAGAUUAGGUAGUUGGUGGGAUAAAAGCUUACCAAGCCGACGAUCUGUAGCUGGUCUGAGAGGAUGAUCAGCCACACUGGGACUGAGACACGGCCCAGACUCCUACGGGAGGCAGCAGUGGGGAAUUUUGGACAAUGGGCGAAAGCCUGAUCCAGCCAUGCCGCGUGCAGGAUGAAGGCCUUCGGGUUGUAAACUGCUUUUGUACGGAACGAAAAGCCUCUUUCUAAUAAAGAGGGGUCAUGACGGUACCGUAAGAAUAAGCACCGGCUAACUACGUGCCAGCAGCCGCGGUAAU
This 519-nucleotide ribosomal RNA is filed under the name uncultured bacterium. RNAcentral describes it as "bacterial SSU rRNA". It matches the Rfam family "Bacterial small subunit ribosomal RNA", at positions 8 to 524 of the family's 1533-position model. The record is from RNAcentral.